GGGCACCACUGUAUAUAUAUAUAUAUAUAUAUAUAUAUAUAUAUAUAUAUAUAUAUAUAUAGUGGGCCCAA
This 71-nucleotide microRNA precursor is filed under the name Podarcis lilfordi (Lilford's wall lizard). Lineage: Eukaryota; Metazoa; Chordata; Lepidosauria; Squamata; Lacertidae. The record is from RNAcentral.